Molecule: microRNA precursor, 180 nt
Filed under: Arabidopsis lyrata
Lineage: Eukaryota; Viridiplantae; Streptophyta; Magnoliopsida; Brassicales; Brassicaceae
Description: miR829 stem-loop (aly-MIR829)
Gene: aly-MIR829
Source: miRBase by way of RNAcentral
UGAUUAACAAAAACAAUGAAUCAUUCUACCAAUUGACUUGUACUUUGAAUCUUUGAUUUGAACCUUUCAAAUGGUAUCAAAGCUUCUACAUCUUUGAAGCUCUGAUACCAUGUGAAGGAGUCAAAUCAAAUCUUCAAGGUACUAGUCAACUUGGCAGAGAAAAAAAUGUAGUUGGGAUUA